AUUGAACGCUGGCGGCAGGCCUAACACAUGCAAGUCGAGCGGAUGACGGGAGCUUGCUCCUUGAUUCAGCGGCGGACGGGUGCGUAAUGCCUAGGAAUCUGCCUGGUAGUGGGGGACAACGGUUCGAAAGCAACGCUAGUACCGCAUACGUCCUACGGGAGAAAGCAGGGGACCUUCGGGCCUUGCGCUAUCAGAUGAGCCUAGGUCGGAUUAGCUAGUUGGUGGGGUAAUGGCUCACCAAGGCGACGAUCCGUAACUGGUCUGAGAGGAUGAUCAGUCACACUGGAACUGAGACACGGUCCAGACUCCUACGGGAGGCAGCAGUGGGGAAUAUUGGACAAUGGGCGAAAGCCUGAUCCAGCCAUGCCGCGUGUGUGAAGAAGGUCUUCGGAUUGUAAAGCACUUUAAGUUGGGAGGAAGGGCAGUAAGUUAAUACCUUGCUGUUUUGACGUUACCGACAGAAUAAGCACCGGCUAACUCUGUGCCAGCAGCCGCCGUAA
RNAcentral lists this ribosomal RNA (500 nucleotides) under uncultured bacterium. RNAcentral describes it as "partial 16S ribosomal RNA". It matches the Rfam family "Bacterial small subunit ribosomal RNA", at positions 30 to 523 of the family's 1533-position model. The record is from RNAcentral.